UUUAUGGAGGAGAUUGGUGUCGUAGUCUUCAUGGUGUGAAGAGAAAGAACAAAAGUGAGAAGAAACCUUUGGAGAUUAUGCUUCCCAUUUCUUGAGAGUGAGAAGAAACCUUUGCAAUGCCUUUACAUGGUUGGUGUUCGUAUUGGAGAGACGACUUGAUGUUGGAGGCUUGGAGCAUUAUCUAUAAGAAGAAGUUGCAAAUUUGCUUUUAUUAUGUUGUAUUUGAUUCAAGACUUGUUAGUUUUUGAAUUUUUGAUGCCUUUAGACUAUUUGAAUGUGCAUUUUCGAGUCUAAUCGAUGUUUUGGAUAUCUAA
Salvia miltiorrhiza (redroot sage) is the source of this 314-nucleotide long non-coding RNA. RefSeq lists it as uncharacterized. The transcript is spliced from 3 exons. NCBI's taxonomy places the organism in Eukaryota, Viridiplantae, Streptophyta, Magnoliopsida, Lamiales, Lamiaceae. The record is from RefSeq and is a predicted model, not a curated record.